Molecule: ribosomal RNA, 810 nt
Filed under: Fereydounia khargensis
Lineage: Eukaryota; Fungi; Basidiomycota; Ustilaginomycetes; Urocystidales; Fereydouniaceae
Description: eukaryotic LSU rRNA
Rfam family: 5.8S ribosomal RNA (bases 300-453)
Source: RNAcentral
GUGUAACAAGGUUUCUGUAGGUGAACCUGCAGAAGGAUCAUUAGAGAGAAUAGAGGGUUUCGGAUUCUGAUCCGCCCUCGCCCUUUCGAUCCACCCAUUCAAACACCUGUGCACAUUCAACUAGCACAAGCUCGGUAUACGAGUAAUAGGAGAAACCCGUGUCUGCGCUGUCUGACAGCUCGGUCGCGUGCGCCUUCGAUUACAACUAUGCCAGUAUGGGCUUGCGCUACUUCAUUUUAAACUCGGUCAAUCGAAUGAAAAAAUACAAAUCCUCCCAUGCGGGGGUGAAAGUUAAACACAACUUUCGGCAAUGGAUCUCUUGGUUCUCCUAUCGAUGAAGAACGCAGCGAAUUGCGAUAAGUAAUGUGAAUUGCAGAAGUCAGUGAAUCAUCGAAUCUUUGAACGCACCUUGCGCCCUAAGGUAUUCCUUAGGGCAUGCCUGUUUGAGUGUCAUGAAUACCUUUCGGACCUACCUUUUUUCCUAGCGAGAAAGGGAUUGGGGAUUCCGGCUCUGAGUGUCUCUGCCUCGGCCUUGCGGCUUUGUGGCUCACUCUAAAUGUAUUAGCUGGAUUCUCGACCGUUGAAUUCAAUCGUCGAUGCUUUCUAUGCGCCUCCUUCUGGUAUAAUAAGUUAUUGUACUGGCUGGUAGCGCAACUAGAUUGAAUCGGUUUUACAUGCGAUUGUUGGAGGUCUAUAGAAUCUGCUUCUAAUCUAGGGGCGGCACGCACUUGUGCGUGUGACAUGCCCGCACACUAUUCUAAUCUGGCCUCAAAUCAGGUAGGACUACCCGCUGAACUUAAGCAUAUCAUA